Molecule: long non-coding RNA, 739 nt
Organism: Sceloporus undulatus (fence lizard)
Lineage: Eukaryota; Metazoa; Chordata; Lepidosauria; Squamata; Phrynosomatidae
Exons: 3
Source: RefSeq, a predicted model, not a curated record
UUUUUUUUUUUUUUUGGACAAUGCCGUUUUGGCCAAUACAAUUCCCAGGGAUAGAAAAUUGCAUUAGGAUUAGUAUCUUUUAAUAUCAGCAGAACAAGAGAUCUACUCUGGGCUUUAGCCUGAACCUUUGUUGGAAUAUUACUCCAAUAGCAUGUCUUCCUGUGUUUAGGUGCCAGUGGGACAGCCUAAAAGAGGAAGAGGAAGACCUAAAGGAAGGAAAUACAAGAGUCCAUCUCAAGCAGCUCAAAAGCAACCAACAGGAGAGCCAACUCCUAAAAGAGGAAGAGGAAGACCUAAAGGAAGUAGAAAGAAAAGUCUACCUAUAACAGCUCAGCAGGGAUAGCAAGUGGAGGCUCAUGAACAAAAAAAAAAAGUCAACUCUGGAUGCAUUUUAGAAGAAAGAAGGUUCAAAACGUUUGUUUUUUAUACAGGGUUUCCUUGAGCGGGUUGUUUUCAUUUCAUAUGUUCCUGUUUUAAAUAAGUUGGUUGAAAAUUGCUGAUCUGCUCUUUUUUGUGGGGUACAAACCUAUUCCUUUCCAUGUUAUUUUGCCUCUGGUGCUAGUUUUUCUGUUCAGGAAGUAAUGCCCAGGGAACGUCUGUUUUGUAUGCCUGUAUUUGUCUCAUGCAUCCCAGAGUAAUGGGUUAAUCCUCUAAAAAAAGAGGGGGGGGGGAUCAGAAGUAGAAAAAUCUCUUUAACGUAUUUUGCUUCCUAAAUAAAACAGUGCAUGGUUUUUCAAAA